Molecule: long non-coding RNA, 203 nt
Filed under: Linum usitatissimum (flax)
Lineage: Eukaryota; Viridiplantae; Streptophyta; Magnoliopsida; Malpighiales; Linaceae
Description: long non-coding RNA (LUSI_LNC003208)
Source: RNAcentral
UAGCCAUAAAUAAUAUCAGUGAAGUGAGGUGAAUUAAAUUUCAAGGUUUUAUUUUUUUUUUAUUCAAAGGAAAGAAAUUUUUUUCGACAAAAAGAAGGAAUGUAAUUUGUUUUUAAAAAGAUAUUAAUUUUUAUUGAAAAAGUUUACCUACCAUAUUUUACUAGUCAUGGAAACGCCAUGUCAACUUUGUUGUAUUGUCAUAA